RNAcentral lists this transfer RNA (77 nucleotides) under Sphingomonadales bacterium. RNAcentral's name for it is "tRNA-Leu". It matches the Rfam family "tRNA". Rfam says of the family: Transfer RNA (tRNA) molecules are approximately 80 nucleotides in length. Lineage: Bacteria; Pseudomonadati; Pseudomonadota; Alphaproteobacteria; Sphingomonadales. The record is from RNAcentral.
GCCCCUGUAGCCCAAUCGGUAGAGGUGUCCGCCUCAGAAGCGGAAGGUUGCUGGUUCGAAUCCAGCGAGGGGCACCA